This 803-nucleotide long non-coding RNA is filed under the name Homo sapiens (human). RNAcentral's name for it is "HSALNT0004145". The record is from RNAcentral. Lineage: Eukaryota; Metazoa; Chordata; Mammalia; Primates; Hominidae.
AAAGCGGCCUGAGGGAGCUUGUUUGCCCCUUCCACCACGUGAGGACACCAUGAAAAGGCACCCAUCUAUGAGGAAUGGGCCCUCACCAGACUGAAUCAGCCAGCACCUUAAGCUUGGAAUUCCCAGCCUCCAGAACUAACGGAGUGUCUUCACGAAGUAGAGCAUCUGCUACCCGCCUGGAGUGGUUCCAGCUCAGAGCAAGACAGAGAAAGCCCCAUUCCCACAGAGUGGACCUUCACAGGGAGAUGGACAUUAACAGACCAACUGCAUCUAGAGUCAGAGGGUGAAAUGCACUAAGAGGAGCACACACAGCAGGGUUUGACUGUUAGAAAAUCCUUCCUUCAGGCCACAUGGAGGGCAUUUACUUCCUCCUUCACAUGGCAGCCCUUUUGUGGCGACAACAGACCCAAAUGCAGUUCAACUUUUAUGGAACAAAGUCGUGAGUUGUUUUCCAGUUUCCAUGCACCCUCAGAUCAUGUAACCUGAACAUGCCCAGGUAAACCAAAUGUGCAACCACAGGGGGAACCUAAGUACUCAGACAGAGGAGUGGGGACUGAAUUAAGAAGCGGACACUACACAGCAGAUCCAGGAUCCAAUCAGAUCAAGUUCUGUUGUUACUGCACGGCAGGAUCCAGUCAGAUCAUGCCUCUUGGCAUCACCUCAUUGCAAGAUCUAAUCAGGUCGUGCCUCAUUAUCCUAUGCUUAUAAAACCUGACCCAGUUCCCAGUUCAGGGAGGCAUUACUUGGGGACCUAUGUGUUCUCCCUGGUGUUCUCCUUACUUGUUGCAAGUAAUAAAAUCCCC